AGGUACACUUCUUGCAUUUGUGGGUACAGGUGCAGGAGCAGUUACAGCAGUUGCUGCAGCUCCUCUUGUUUUAGGGGCUGUUGGGUUCACUGCAGGAGGAGUUGCUGCGGGUUCUUAUGCCGCCUCUUUGGUGUCAGCUGGAUCUCUAGUAGCAGGUGCUGCUGGAAUCCCUGUCACAGCUAAUGCUGUUAUAGGGACCCUAGGGGGGCUUUGGGGUUACUAUUGCUAUUGCAGUUCAUGAAUCACAGGUGCUGCUGAAAUCUCUGUCAUAUGAAGUCAUAUGCUAUGGAGGUUGCGGUGGGGACAAUUUUCGACAUUGGCAGCAAUUGGACUUCUGUCCUGCAAUGCCUGUUUAUGUAAUAAUAUAAAUAAAACUUUUCAUAAACUCACUAUUAAUGUAUUUCUACAUUUCUGGUCAAUAUUGUUAAAAUAGGUAUGUGAACUCAUUACUAAGCAAAAAAAAAAAGAAAUCAGAAAUGAAUCAGUUUUUAAAUUGCUAAUAUUAAUAAACCUUAAUAUAACAUA
Molecule: non-coding RNA, 525 nt
Organism: Misgurnus anguillicaudatus (oriental weatherfish)
Lineage: Eukaryota; Metazoa; Chordata; Actinopteri; Cypriniformes; Cobitidae
Source: RefSeq, a predicted model, not a curated record